UGUGUCGAGGCUGAGGACCCGGCGCGAGCAGCAGCCGGUGUCCCAGCUGAGCGCAGGCAGGCGUUCUGGCAGCCCGGCCCAGCCCACAUAAGGGCCCGCAGCACCAGGUGACGGCCGCGUAGGGCUGGGGCGACGCUUCGCUCGGUGGGGCCGCAGACGCCGUGGUGGGCGACCUGAAAAAUGUGCUCAGCACGAGUUGCCAGCAGAGUCCAGAAACGAACACGAGACCGGCCACGAAGGAAGUUCAGGGGGACCACAAGUGUGGGGGCGGGCGGCCCCCUGGGGGCGGGUGACGGCGCCGCGGUGGCGCCCUGCUGCCAGUCGUCGACGCGUGGCUGACGGAGGCCGGGAGCCGCGGUCGCAGAGUCCGGCGGUGGCGCGGUCAGACUGGAGAGUACGGUGCUGAGGCAGCUGCUGGUGCGCCCCUACAGUGUGCAGUCACCCCAGCUGCCCAGCACGGCCUGUCAGCCAGCAAGUGCGGCGUGUCGAGGCCGAAGACCCGGUGUGAGCAGCAGCUGGCAGCUCAGCCGGCCACAGCUGUUCUGGCAGAGUGACACAGCUGCCCCAGCCUCAGGCAGGCCACGCACGUGCACACAAAGCCUCACACACGCCAGGUGACGGCCACGUAAAGCUGGGCUGGUGCAGUGCUCGGUGAGCCCAAAGACGCCGUCAGAGUGAGUCGGCAGCUCCACGAGUCGCCAGCAGACUCCAGAAUCGACCUCGGAGGCAGCAGUGAAGAAAGUUCAGGAGACCACAAAUAUGGACGCCCUCCCAUAUGCGGGUGACGCUGGCAGUGGAUCACGUGUGGCUGGUGGACACGAGGCUCUUCCUGUGGCCAGG
Molecule: long non-coding RNA, 840 nt
Organism: Schistocerca cancellata (South American locust)
Lineage: Eukaryota; Metazoa; Arthropoda; Insecta; Orthoptera; Acrididae
Exons: 3
Source: RefSeq, a predicted model, not a curated record